GACGAACGCUGGCGGCGUGCUUAACACAUGCAAGUCGAACGGUGAAGCGCCUUCCUUUUUGGUGGGUGUGGAUGAGUGGCGAACGGAUGAGUAACACGUGAGUAACCUGCCCCCUUCUUCUGGAUAACCGCAUGAAAGUGUGGCUAAUACGGGAUAUUCUGGGUCUGUCGCAUGAUGGGUCUGGGAAAGAUAUUGUUUCGGUGGGGGAUGGGCUCGCGGCCUAUCAGCUUGUUGGUGGGGUGAUGGCCUACCAAGGCGGUGACGGGUAGCCGGCCUGAGAGGGUGGACGGUCACACUGGGACUGAGACACGGCCCAGACUCCUACGGGAGGCAGCAGUGGGGAAUAUUGCACAAUGGGCGCAAGCCUGAUGCAGCGACGCCGCGUGAGGGAUGGAGGCCUUCGGGUUGUGAACCUCUUUCGCCAGUGAAGCAGGCCUGCCUCGUUUGUGGGUGGGUUGACGGUAGCUGGAUAAGAAGCGCCGGCUAACUACGUG
Molecule: ribosomal RNA, 494 nt
Filed under: uncultured bacterium
Lineage: Bacteria
Description: partial 16S ribosomal RNA
Rfam family: Bacterial small subunit ribosomal RNA
Source: RNAcentral